GAUGAACGCUAGCUACAGGCUUAACACAUGCAAGUCGAGGGGAAACGACAUCGCAAGCUUGCUUUUGAUGGGCGUCGACCGGCGCACGGGUGAGUAACGCGUAUCCAACCUGCCCAUCACUUGGGAAUAACCUUGCGAAAGUAAGACUAAUACCCAAUGAUAUCCCACGAAGGCAUCGGAAUGGGAUUAAAGAUUUAUCGGUGAUGGAUGGGGAUGCGUCUGAUUAGCUUGUUGGCGGGGUAACGGCCCACCAAGGCAACGAUCAGUAGGGGUUCUGAGAGGAAGGUCCCCAACAUUGGAACUGAGACACGGUCCAAACUCCUACGGGAGGCAGCAGUGAGGAAUAUUGGUCAAUGGGCGAGAGCCUGAACCAGCCAAGUAGCGUGCAGGAAGACGGCCCUAUGGGUUGUAAACUGCUUUUAUAAGGGAAUAAAGUGGGUCACGUGUGACUUUUUGCAUGUACCUUAUGAAUAAGGACCGGCUAAUUCCGUG
RNAcentral lists this ribosomal RNA (492 nucleotides) under uncultured bacterium. RNAcentral describes it as "partial 16S ribosomal RNA". It matches the Rfam family "Bacterial small subunit ribosomal RNA", at positions 28 to 507 of the family's 1533-position model. The record is from RNAcentral.